AUUGAACGCUGGCGGCAGGCCUAACACAUGCAAGUCGAACGGCAGCACAGAAGAGCUUGCUCUUUGGGUGGCGAGUGGCGGACGGGUGAGUAAUGUCUGGGAAACUGCCCGAUGGAGGGGGAUAACUACUGGAAACGGUAGCUAAUACCGCAUAACGUUGCGAGACCAAAGUGGGGGGCCUUCGGGCCUACCACCAUCGGAUGUGCCCAGAUGGGAUUAGCUAGUAGGUGGGGUAAUGGCUCACCCAGGCGACGAUCCCUAGCUGGUCUGAGAGGAUGACCAGCCACACUGGAACUGAGACACGGUCCAGACUCCUACGGGAGGCAGCAGUGGGGAAUAUUGCACAAUGGGCGCAAGCCUGAUGCAGCCAUGCCGCGUGUAUGAAGAAGGCCUUCGGGUUGUAAAGUACUUUCAGCGGGGAGGAUGGCGGUGAGGUUAAUAACCUUGCCGAUUGACGUUACCCGCAGAAGAAGCACCGGCUAACUCCGUGCCAGCCGCCGCGGUAA
This 506-nucleotide ribosomal RNA is filed under the name uncultured bacterium. RNAcentral describes it as "partial 16S ribosomal RNA". It matches the Rfam family "Bacterial small subunit ribosomal RNA", at positions 30 to 523 of the family's 1533-position model. The record is from RNAcentral.